AUUCAGCUGAUGAGUCCCAAAUGGGACGCAACGCGUGUCUUUGAU
RNAcentral lists this non-coding RNA (45 nucleotides) under Schistosoma curassoni. The record is from RNAcentral. Lineage: Eukaryota; Metazoa; Platyhelminthes; Trematoda; Strigeidida; Schistosomatidae.